CCGUUGGUCUUCGGACCGAUUCUUAUAACAAACAUCUGUGUAAUGAACGUAACCUAUAUUAAUCAUAUAAAACUUUUAACAACGGAUCUCUUGGCUCUCGCAUCGAUGAAGAACGCAGCGAAAUGCGAUAAGUAAUGUGAAUUGCAGAAUUCAGUGAAUCAUCGAAUCUUUGAACGCACCUUGCGCCUUUUGGUAUUCCGAAAGGCAUGCCUGUUUGAGUGUCAUGAAAUAUCAACCCCUCCUGGUUUCUGAUCAGUGUUGGGCUUGGACUUGGGUGUCUGCCAGUUCGCUGGCUCGCCUUAAAAGAGUUAGUGGUAAUAACAUCCACGGCUAAGACGUAAUAAGUUUCGUCUGGUCAAGGUGUGACGACUGCUCAUAACCCGACCGCAAGGUCAUUAUUUAUGCUCUGACCUCAAAUCAGGUAGGACUACCCGCUGAACUUAAGCAUAUCAAUAAGCGGAGGAAAAGAAACUAACAAGGAUUCCCCUAGUAACGGCGAGCGAACAGGGAAGAGCUCAAAUUUGAAAUCUGGCGUCCUCCGGGCGUCCGAGUUGUAAUCUAUAGAGACGUUUUCCGUGCCGGACCGUGUCCAAGUUCCUUGGAACAGGAUAUCAAAGAGGGUGACAAUCCCGUACUUGACACGACGACCGGUGCUCUGUGAUACGUUUUCUACGAGUCGAGUUGUUUGGGAAUGCAGCUC
RNAcentral lists this ribosomal RNA (700 nucleotides) under Bullera alba. Its description in RNAcentral is "eukaryotic LSU rRNA". The stretch from base 408 to 700 matches the Rfam family "Eukaryotic large subunit ribosomal RNA", at positions 1 to 288 of the family's 3401-position model. Lineage: Eukaryota; Fungi; Basidiomycota; Tremellomycetes; Tremellales; Bulleraceae. The record is from RNAcentral.